ACUCUGCUAACUCGUAAGAGGAUGUAUAGGGUGUGACGCCUGCCCGGUGCUCGAAGGUUAAUUGAUGGGGUUAGCAUUAGCGAAGCUCUUGAUCGAAGCCCGAGUAAACGGCGGCCGUAACUAUAACGGUCCUAAGGUAGCGAAAUUCCUUGUCGGUUAAAUACCGACCUGCAUGAAUGGCGUAACGAGAUGGGAGCUGUCUCAAAGAGGGAUCCAGUGAAAUUGUAGUGGAGGUGAAAAUUCCUCCUACCCGCGGCAAGACGGAAAGACCCCGUGGACCUUUACUACAGCUUGACACUGCUACUUGGAUAAGAAUGUGCAGGAUAGGUGGGAGGCUUUGAGUAUAUGACGCCAGUUGUAUAUGAGCCAUUGUUGAGAUACCACUCUUUCUUAUUUGGGUAGCUAACCAGCUUGAGUUAUCCUCAAGUGGGACAAUGUCUGGUGGGUAGUUUGACUGGGGCGGUCGCCUCCCAAAUAAUAACGGAGGCUUACAAAGGUUGGCUCAGAACGGUUGGAAAUCGUUCGUAGAGUAUAAAGGUAUAAGCCAGCUUAACUGCAAGACAUACAAGUCAAGCAGAGACGAAAGUCGGUCUUAGUGAUCCGGUGGUUCUGUGUGGAAGGGCCAUCGCUCAAAGGAUAAAAGGUACCCCGGGGAUAACAGGCUGAUCUCCCCCAAGAGCUCACAUCGACGGGGAGGUUUGGCACCUCGAUGUCGGCUCAUCGCAUCCUGGGGCUGGAGCAGGUCCCAAGGGUAUGGCUGUUCGCCAUUUAAAGCGGUACGCGAGCUGGGUUCAGAACGUCGUGAGACAGUUCGGUCCCUAUCUGCCGUGGGCGUAAGAAGAUUGAAGAGAUUUGACCCUAGUACGAGAGGACCGGGUUGAACAAACCACUGGUGUAGCUGUUGUUCUGCCAAGAGCAUCGCAGCGUAGCUAAGUUUGGAAAGGAUAAACGCUGAAAGCAUCUAAGCGUGAAGCCAACUCUAAGAUGAAUCUUCUCUAAGCUCUCUAGAAGACUACUAGUUUGAUAGGCUGGGUGUGUAAUGGAUGAAAGUCCUUUAGCUGACCAGUACUAAUAGAGCGUUUGGCUUAUCUUUAAUAAAGCAU
Molecule: ribosomal RNA, 1103 nt
Filed under: Campylobacter jejuni
Lineage: Bacteria; Pseudomonadati; Campylobacterota; Epsilonproteobacteria; Campylobacterales; Campylobacteraceae
Description: partial 23S ribosomal RNA
Rfam family: Bacterial large subunit ribosomal RNA
Source: RNAcentral